This 497-nucleotide ribosomal RNA is filed under the name uncultured bacterium. Its description in RNAcentral is "partial 16S ribosomal RNA". It matches the Rfam family "Bacterial small subunit ribosomal RNA", at positions 28 to 507 of the family's 1533-position model. The record is from RNAcentral.
GAUGAACGCUGGCGGCGUGCCUAAUACAUGCAAGUCGAGCGAACAGAUGAGGAGCUUGCUCCUCUGACGUUAGCGGCGGACGGGUGAGUAACACGUGGAUAACCUACCUAUAAGACUGGGAUAACUUCGGGAAACCGGAGCUAAUACCGGAUAAUAUAUUGAACCGCAUUGUUCAAUAGUGAAAGACGGUUUUGCUGUCACUUAUAGCUUGAUCCGCGCCGCAUUAGCUAGUUGGUAAGGUAACGGCUUACCAAGGCAACGAUGCGUAGCCGACCAGAGAGGGUGAUCGGCCACACUGGAACUGAGACACGGUCCAGACUGCUACGGGAGGCAGCAGUAGGGAAUCUUCCGCGAUGGGCGAAAGCUUGACGGAGCAACGCCGCGUGAGUGAUGAAGGUCUUCGGAUCGUAAAACUCUGUUAUUAGGGAAGAACAAAUGUGUAAGUAACUAUGCACGUCUUGACGGUACCUAAUCAGAAAGCCACGGCUAACUACGUG